UGAGGGAAUAUUGGGUCAAUGGGGCGAAAGCCUGAACCAGCCAUGCCGCGUGAAGGAAUAAGGCCCUAUGGGUCGUAAACUUCUUUAGACGCAGAGCAAUAAGGGCCACGCGUGGUCCGAUGAGAGUAUGCGUAGAAUAAGCAUCGGCUAACUCCGUGCCAGCAGCCGCGGUAAUACGGGGGAUGCGAGCGUUAUCCGGAUUCAUUGGGUUUAAAGGGUGCGUAGGCGGCUUUGCAAGUCAGCGGUGAAAGGCCCGGGCUCAACCCGGAAAGUGCCGUUGAUACUGUGAGGCUGGAAUGCGGAUGCUGUGGGAGGAAUGAGUGGUGUAGCGGUGAAAUGCAUAGAUAUCACUCAGAACACCGAUUGCGAAGGCAUCUCACAAAUCCG
Molecule: ribosomal RNA, 387 nt
Filed under: uncultured bacterium
Lineage: Bacteria
Description: bacterial SSU rRNA
Rfam family: Bacterial small subunit ribosomal RNA
Source: RNAcentral